UGAAGCUCACGCUUGGGCUGCCCACU
RNAcentral lists this unclassified non-coding RNA (26 nucleotides) under Mus musculus (house mouse). RNAcentral's name for it is "oocyte_clustered_small_RNA10638". Lineage: Eukaryota; Metazoa; Chordata; Mammalia; Rodentia; Muridae. The record is from RNAcentral.